RNAcentral lists this long non-coding RNA (247 nucleotides) under Ananas comosus (pineapple). RNAcentral's name for it is "long non-coding RNA (ACOM_LNC012928)". Lineage: Eukaryota; Viridiplantae; Streptophyta; Magnoliopsida; Poales; Bromeliaceae. The record is from RNAcentral.
AGGUAAGUUCAGUUAGUAAAUAAUGAUUAAAUUUAUCUACCAUAUAUCCCUAGCGCAAGUAGCAAGGAGCUUGAUGAUUGGUAACUGAGAUCCUAAAUUUGAAGUCUAGUCAUUCAUAUUUCUAUCUGUUUUUACUUUUCCAAAAAAUUAACAAAGUAGUAUGCUACCUUUCUCUCUCUUAAAAAAAAAAUUAUUAAUCUAAUAAAUUUAUCUGUUAAUGCUAAUAUCAAAAUCUACUUCAUUAAUA